CUUCAGAAAUCAUUCUAAUAUGCUGAUUUGGUGCUCAAGAAACAGUUCUGAUUUUUAUCAAUAUUGUUAUUUUUGAGGAAGCUGUGAUACACUACCAUUGAAAAGUUUAGGGUCAGUACAAUUUUUUUAAACAUUAAAAAAUAUAUAUAUAUAUAUAUAUAUAUAUUUAAGAAUUAAAUAUUUAUAUUCAGCAAGGAUGCAUUAAAUUGAUUAAAAGUGACAGGAAAGACCUUUAUAAUGUUACAAAAUAUUUAUUUUUCAAAUUUACGCUGUUCUUUUGAUAUUUUUAUGCAUCAAAGAACCCUGAAAAAUUAAAUGCAUCACAGUUUCCACAAAAAUAUUGGGCAACACACCUGUUUUCAUGACCUUUAUCAAAAAUAAUUUGCUAAUCAGCUCUAGACUUGUUUAUAGAGCCCUUGCAGGUUUUUCAGAUCAGUGUUUUGACUUCAAGCAGCAGAACAAGGAUUUGGGAAGAACUUUUCAUAUGACACCACGAGAACUUAAAUCAGUUCUUGGAAUCAGUGGAGUUUCUCUGAUGGAAUUAUAAGGUAUCAUAAAAAGGUUUUCUUGUUACCUCAUGCAGCUUUCAUUAUUUUUUGAGCAUUUAUACAGAAGACACUGAAGACACAGAACGAUAGUUUAUCUCUCACAAACGCCCACAUCACACACAGCAUCUGUACUUGUGUAGAGGAUUCAGUAACACCAUAUUUUCUCUCUCUGUCUCUCUAUCUUUUUUACCUCUCCUCCCUCACGCUGAGAGGAGAGAACAGAAGUGUUGAGUGUGGAGAGAUGAAGAAUAUCUCAUCCUUGUGAAGCCGUCAGACACACACUGUAAAGGAGAGCAGAGGGAGGGAAUCACUGAGCUUUCUCUGGACCAUCUGUAUAGCUCUUUGUCACCUGUCAAUGAAGGCUUGCAUAUUGUGUAAAGCAGAUUCCAUUCAUCUUCUCAUCACUGAAUCCUCAUCCAGCGCUAAUGGUUUCGGAAACAGUGACCUGUCUGCUGUAUAUCUGAGAGGAGGCCUGUCCUUCCACGACAAAUGUGUUGUGUGUGCUGACGUCCACCUGGCGUCCAGAACAGAAGCAAAAACCAAAAGAAAGAUCCUGUCGAGACGCAGAUUAACUUUAGGACAAAAUGAGGAGCGUUAAACGUGAAGCAGGAGCCAGAAGCCCAUCAGCAGAACAUUAUGCCAUUUAUUUUAAUACGCAAACGCCUCAGUAAUUGAGUGAACCAGCCAAUUGAUUCUAAUUAUUCACUGAGUGAAUUUACCUUCAAACUAAAUUUCCAUCGAUUAUAAAAUAACAUGUAACGAUGUAGAAUAAAUUUGCUAAUAAUAAUAAGUAUAAGGAUUAU
Molecule: long non-coding RNA, 1351 nt
Organism: Cyprinus carpio (common carp)
Lineage: Eukaryota; Metazoa; Chordata; Actinopteri; Cypriniformes; Cyprinidae
Source: Ensembl